UUCGUUCAAAAUAUUCACGGAUAAAUAAAUUCAAUUUUAAUUUUUUCUAAUAUUACAAAUUUAGAUAAUUUAUCCGUUUUUUAAAUAUUUAGAUAAACGCUUAUCUAAACUACGCGCUUGAAUUUUUUACGUUUGUUUACCGACCUCGGUGUCUUAUCUAUAGAAAAAAAAAGAUAAGGUAAUAGAUAAUAGGAGACAAUAAGAAUUGUUUCUCUUAUCUAUCUCAGAUGUUUCAUAAACUUUAUUUAAAUAAUAGCUCUAAUCGAAUCGAUACAUCUUUUGUCUAGCUAGGAUCGAAGAAUAAUAUCUUUAUACUUUUGACGCCUUCUCACCCAGGUUAAACAAAGGUCACAAGAAAUGAGUUUAAGUUAACAAACGCUUUAAGGUAAAAGGGUCGAAUUGCUAUCGUUUACAAUAGAGAAACAGUUGCCGAAACUUCUUUGUUUAAGAAGUGUUACAUAUGCUAUUCCGGUGAAUGAAGGUCGGAGGAGUUUAAAUGUCGAAGGAAAGGGAGAGUUAUGUUUUCGGAUGGGUUAUUUUUUUGGAAACGUUUAGUAAACCUAAAUACCGAUCUUCGCAAUUUUGAAUGAAUGAUGGAAUUGGGGUGAAGGUUGAAUAAUAUGAGGUGAUAAGUAACACCAUUAUACCAUGUUGAGGAAGUAAACAAUUGUGGUAUUGAGCAUAUCUUAGGCGAAAAAUUGAUUUAAUCGAUGACGAUUGACUUUUUCAAACGAUUGAAAAGUGAAAAGCGUGCAAUGAGAUUCAUAGGAGCUUUUUUAGUUUUUCGACAGCCUUUUAAAUCCUUAUCAAAGCUCGUUUAAUGAAUAAUAAGUGAAUUAUUAAUAUUAACACGAAUGAAACCAUUACUGAAAAGUGUCACGUCGAAAAAAGUAAAAUUGAUGGUUAUUACAUUUGUGAAUGGAUCAGUCUCUGCAGGUGGGCUCGCCUAAUGUUUGGCUUGGACCACCUUUCCAAAUACUUACUAUUCAGGCCACGUGUUUAAAUAAAUCAUACAUAAGCCAACCAAGUGGGGCGUCGAAUCAACGUUUUUUUAACAUAGAGAAGAGGAUGGAUAGAGUUGACGUCAACCACCCUCUUGGCGGUAGACACUCCCCAUAACCCUUUUCCCCUCAUCCCCGAUUCUAUUUUUAUAUCCUCUCAAUCUUCCGUCGACUCAGAUGUGACUUGUCUCUUAAAGAAGUAACAUGUCUGCCAUUCUGAUGGGUUAUGUUAUCAGGAUUAAAAAACAAACUAAACAUCCUCAACAUCAUAAACAGGUGAGAAUAUAGAAUUAUCUUAAACGUGAAUGUCAUGCUAAACGGUUUCCUAAAUUUCUCUGGUAUUUGGGAUUGGGUGGUAGCUAGAAUUUUUCCUUCAAUUCAGGAUGAAAAUAUGAAUAAUCGUAGGAAAGUUAGAGUCGAUAACAGAAAGAUAUAGCCGUGAAAAUUAGUUCAUUCGCUUAUCUUCCUUAAAGCUGUUAAUAUUCAUGCGUUUUACGAGAUUAUUCAAACCGUAAAACUGAAUCUGGGUUUUUUUAUUACAUCAUUUACUUUGUUAAUGAUAGGGCAAAGAGAGAAUUCCGAAAAAAUAAAACAAAAAAAUUAUCGCGUAGGUAAGUAUAGACUCGGGAAUAAAGGAAAAUCUUGCCAUUCUUUAUUUCUGAGGAAUUAUAUGUUAUGGCAGUCGGUAUAAUCAGGCAGUUUCCGGAUUUAUAAGCCGCUUUUAGAUUUGUUAUAUGGCACAUAAUCUGUCAGCCCGUAUAAGGUUCGAGUAUUCGACUCUCCUAUACGAUAAUACUUUUACAGCCCUUUAUCGCUUUUGUCAUCAAUCCUCUUGGCUAGGAAAUGAGGUCUGACCCAAUAACCUUAUAUUUUAUUACUUAAAAUUAGUGUUUUUCAUUUUUUUAUCACAAAAAAUAAACUGCCCAACUGUAAAUACGCAUAUUUAUAGAGAACUGGCGUUUGGACCGAAAUACUCCAAAUUACGCGCAUCCUAUUAAAAACAAACUUGGCUACACUUCCGCCUUUUACUGCGUACACUGUAUAUAAACGAGAAUAUUUUUUCCCCAUCCGAUACUUUUGGUCAAUUAUGUAAAGUAGACCUAUUAAAAAUUAACGGUCUUCUUAAGCAUUCCAUUUAAAUUAUCUUGGCUCUUUAAACUGCCGUUUACUAAAGUGUUGGCAGGCGGUCGAGUUAUUUAAUUAAGGGUUAAACAAUUUGGAGGAACCUGAUAAUCCAUUGUCAAGAUUUUCAUCUCUCUAAUAAAAGAUAACAAAACGAUAAUAGAUUGAUCGAUUCACCGCUAGAGAGUUCCAAGAAAUUAUAUAUUUUGCCAGAUAACUCGCUUAUAUUAUUUAUCCGAGAUAAUUAAACAAUACUGUGUUGAUUUACAACUCGUUUACCAUAUUUUUCUUUAAUCUCUGGCUUUAUCUAGUUGUGUUUAUAAUUUAUGCCGCUAGAUAAUAACUCCGCUGUUAUCUGUAACCGAGACACAGAGAGAGGGAAGGAUUAAAUCAUCAUUAUCCCAUCAUUUGUUUUUAUGCUAAAAAUUGCAAAAUAAAUAAAGCCCAACCUGUGUUUUUGAUGUUGGUAAAAGUCGCUUAUCUGGAAGCGAAUAGGAGAUAAAAGGGGUUAAGCAUUCACCAGACGGUUGGUGUCUUUAUGUGGACGGUAAUUAGACUAAGACCUCGUCCGACUGGCCACGUAACGAGCCAGAUGCUGGCUUAAUGUGGGGAAAAGGAAGCCGCUUAAAUCCGUGUCGGAUGAGGAAAGAGUCUUCAUAAUGACGACUUGGACCAGUUUUGAGGCAUUUAGACCGGUCGUUGCGUGUCUCAUCGCUCCCCAGACACCAAAACUAGCAGUCGUAUUAACUCUUCUAAUACCUCUUCCACUUUGUUUCUGUAAUAUGCGCAUUCGUCAAAGUCUGGUCGAAAUCGUUGGCUGUUGGCACGCGUCCAAAAUCAACUAAGGCGCCGAAACACUCCGUCUUUUUGUUUUCUUACCAACAAUACUUUUUCUACAAUUUCUGCUUAGUGUCUAGCCACACUUAAACUGGUGUCGGAAGUGAAGGAACGAUGUACCUUUCGGCCUGUUUAUCGCUUCUAUUUUUAAAGAGCGAUAAACUGUUGUUUUGGCGCAUUAUAAAAAAUAAUUCUAUCGAUAUUUAUUCUUUUUAUACAUAUAUUUUUUUUAAGUUCUAAAUUACUAAUUCCUUUUAUACAUUAUAUAAUUUCCCUUAGAGCUUUCGAUUGUAUGAAGGGAAAAAAUUUAAUAGCUCUUACUUGUGUAUUAUGGAAAUUUCUUCCGGUUGGAUAGUUCUUUUUAAGAAUGCGCUUUUCCUUUUCGUCUCGAAGAUUAGGAUAAAAAGAUAACUAAAACGAGAGGCUUGCUUAAAGAAGAAACGAUUCCUUUUAAGGCCACGACAGGAUGUCUGUUUAGCACCUUAGUCAACCCAAAAAUGAAUACCGAGAAAAGCGGAUAUUAAGAAAAGAUUGCGCCACGCCAGCUCUUCUCCGAAAACAUUUGUUGGGCUACAACAUCCCGUCCACUUAAAAACUAUAGCGCCUAGAUCAGCUUAUAAAUAUCAUAGUUUAUAUCUCACUUCGACCUUCACGGGAUUCUUUAACGAUGCGAGUAGACCGUUCGGCGGCCAACUGAUCAUGGUGGGGAUUUCCCCCCUCCUUCCACCGCCGAUGGUACGGAAUUUAUAAGACGGGGGAAAUUCUUCGGAGAUUUCCUUCACCUACUAGCGCGUUAUCUGUGACACCUGCACCCAGUUGACAUUCAUCGAUUGUGGGCCGGGAGAUGACACAGUUAUCCGCGCCUAACGGAGGAUAUCUGUCUUCCUUAGCAGAUACGUCUCCAUCUGGCAUGACAGACCGCGGCUGUAAUGACUAGCGUCGCUUAGUGCAUCGUUUAACCUCUUUUCCACCAGAACUGGUAGCGGUCGAUUCUCGACGUUGGCUGGUCGAAAGUACCGGGCCAGUUUCGACUAUCAAACUUAAGUUAUUCUAUCUCGCUUUCUAGAACGAAAAAUGAAAUACGCUACUUCUAAACAACAAAUUCGGUGGUAAAAUCCGGAAAGAAUUUGAAUUUAUAGUUACCAACCGGAAAGAAGGUUAGUCGUCUAGAGUGUUGGCUUAUUUAUCGUUCUUAUUCGGAUCCGUUCCGCUAAAUAUAGUGUCCGUAGGCAGCCGAUUAGGUAAGAAUUAUAUUAUUGGAAUAUUAAUAAACCGACUUUCAAAUCGCCUAAAGACACAGUCGAAGUGAAAGAGCGACGGAUUAAUGUAAAAUAAGUGCUAAGUCGACCCCAAUAGCCAAUAGUCUGUUCCCGAAAGAUUAAUUUCAACAUGUUUACCUACCAGGAAUUAUAUCGAUACGAAGAUACACCCCAACCGAAGGUGGAUACAAGUUAACCCCUCCGGGUACCGAAAGUCCGUAAAUGAUUCUUUUUUUGUCUUCGAUAAGUUGGAGGAUUAUGGCCGACUCGACUAAAAGCUGGUGCUGAUUAUAAACCGGUAGUAAAUCUGCCUGGGAGGAUUUUAUACCUAAGUUAUAAGGGAGGGAACAGUGGGCCCCGGGAUCUGGUUGGCUCCAUUCCGAGAUCCAUUAGCUGUAUGGCCAUCGGUAUUUUAUCCUAAAUUAUCGGGCCGGAUCGGGAUCCCAGAUAAGAGUUAACGGAAACCCAGUUCACUGAUCUUAUCGAAAGGUUCCGAGUGUAAGCCAGCGCUACGUGCCGUGUUUCCCAACAUUCUCUGGAGGCAGCUGGGGCCGGCACCGAAUUAUCCACCGUUUUUACGGUUAUUUUUUGUAUCGAGGAGGAGGAGGAGGAGGAGAGAGUCUAGACUAGGAGCCGAUAACGGAACACAAGCGAAUUUAAGCGGACGUAUUUAUAUUAACCGGUUAAGAGAUUAAACGUUUUUACGGGGAGACAGUUUUCAUUAACACGUCCCCACGGAUUAGCCACUCGGCGCGUCUGGGGUCAAGGUCAGCUGGUAUUAUUUAAAAGUAAUGGUAGCCGACAAUAAGAUGGCGGGAGGACGAGGGGAAUCGCUAGUUACUCUUUUUUUCCCAUACAGAAGGAGACCCUCGUUUUGGCAGCUGGAGGUAAAGUUUCUGGCUCUAACAUCCCCCACCGACAGUUUACCAAUCGUAUUCGACGCUCUUAAAUCUCGUCGACCGGUAAAAGAAGUCGACAGCAAACGGUGCCUUUUCCACAUUUCUGUCAUUUUUCCACUCAUAUUUUACCUUUCGGCCGUCUGUUUGGAAGUUCAACAGAUCUGCCAGCUGAGGGCUGGGUCACGAAAGAGUGGAAAGUUUCGACCUGUAUCUGGAGGCGUAGCGCCUUAUCAUUUCGGCUGGCCACCGAGUCGGAGAGAAGGCAGGCAUCUUUCUGGUGGAAGAGGAGCGGUUCCAGCGGGACGGCGGAGGAAAACACCGGGGAUAGCCAGACGCUAGGCCAUAUAUCACGAUGGGGAUCGAAAGUUCGUUACCCGACAGCCCAAAAGUAAUCGGCCGCACCGCCUAUGGUCCGCCGUUCCAACCUGUGUCAAAUAACCAGUUAGCUCUUCCGCCGGUGGACCGGAACACCUCGUUUUUUUCCAUUUUACCGCUUCCUUUCCAAUAUUAUCGGGUCUCGGGAGAUGGGAUUUAUCUCUAAAUCUCUGGCAUACCAGAAAAAAUUCUGGUAAAAUUGUAUCGGUAAAUAAACUAGAAACCCGUUCUCUCGAUUUUCCGUCUUCUGUCUCGGCUAAAAAAUCCCGGCAAAAAUUGAAUUCUCUUCGCCGGAUAUUCGAUUCCAUGGUUAUUUAAUACUUAAUUUCAACACAAAAUGUUUCCUCAAUUAUUGUUUUAAAUAUUUAAAACUUCAAUGGGAUUCCACGGAUAAGUUAUGGGUAGGUGGCACUUAGUAGGUUGGACCGGACCGCCUCCUCCAUCCAGGGUCUAUAAUUUCGGACGGUUCUUUUAUCACCCGGUUAGCCAGGUCGAGACGGGUGGGAUAAUAAUUCGGCGAUUGGAAGACCGCCGGAUAUUCGAGAGUCGACUCUCCAAUACACUGGGACGGCGACGUCUCGAUACUUAAACAGGAGCGGCCACCAGCCUCACCAUCCAGUUAGUCGGUCCGGGUCUGAUCCGGUCCGUCCCGGAUGGGGAAACGGACCGGUGGAGCCGGAUGACGAACGAUAAUGGAGGCUGGCGGCAGUGGAGAUUGAUGACUCGGUCUGGUUAAGGUGGUCGGCCAGAUGUCGAAUCGAUUAUGGACCGCACCGCCCAACCCGACCAUUCCAGUGUUUAAAGUGUGGGCAAAAACCUCUCCAUUUACAUAAACUUAUCCACCCACCUCCGCCCAUUAAAUUCCUGCAUCAAAUUUUCGCCCACCCCCGUUAAUUUUAGAAUCGGUUAUUUCACUUUCACCUAAUCUGGCACGGUUUAGCCGACUCCGUCCAGAAUUUCCAGGGCGGCCAGUAGACAUCGCCCGUGGGUCCCCGAAUGGUAACUAAUUAAAGAGCCAGCCCACGGACGGUAGCCACCAUUUUUAAAAAGUUACGAAUUAGCCAUUCCUAGUGUGUGUGGUGGGCACCAGAAAUUUUCGGGUCGCGCCUUUCGCUGCCCACGGGUGUAUGGGAGGUCGGCCAUUAUUCUUGACCGAUUAAUCGUCUACUUCUUCCAGUUAAGACACCACUAGUAUAAAUUAUCGAAUUAAAUUAUCGGUGCGUAAGUCGGAGGGUCGUAGGUCGAGUAGACGCUACCACCUUUAAUCGUAUUAGUCGAGAGAAUAAUUGGAAUCUGUGUAGAGUUAAAGGGAGCGGGCGGCCGAGGAAUGUUAGAGAAAUUCUCUCCACCUUCGAGUCGAUUUACCGUGUAUAUUAAGACUUAUAUAUUAGUCGCCAGCUUUUACCUCGCUUCCAGUUUACUUAAUGCGCGAGGCCAGUGGAGGUUCUGUUCCUAAUGGCUCGGUCUGACCUUAACCGUUUCGUUGGCUUUAAUUAUAUAAUUAGAUUAACGAUUAAUCGAGAAAAGUUCUAUCGUCGUUUUCUCCAGAUUUAUAUUCUCGGUCCAGAGUAUCCGUCGGCCGCCAUUUUAAUAUGGCCAACAGAAAUGGUCCGACCAUCUCCACCGGUCUUAAUUUUGUUUCGGCAGCAGCCGCCCAAUAGUUACAAAAUUAUUCUGCAUCCCCUACGCCCCACCGCGCUCAAACACUCUGCCAGAAUCUAAUAAAUAAUCAAUCGUAUAAUUUCGGAGAAUUCGGGUCUCACGCUUCCUGAUUUUCGGGAGGGAUCCGGCCCGUCCGAUCCCGUUUUUCGAUUUUCCGGCGACCCCCACCCCGGCUGCCAGGUCGUAAAAGUGGUUAGCGCCGGAUAAAGCGUAUCUCACCGGGAUACGGUGUUAACCUAGUAAAAUGUAAUUUUAUCUUUCAGGGAAAAGCCAGAAGAGAGUCGCUGGUCAUCGCCAAUCCCGACGAUAACUGUAUCGACU
This 7476-nucleotide long non-coding RNA is filed under the name Androctonus crassicauda. The record is from RNAcentral. Lineage: Eukaryota; Metazoa; Arthropoda; Arachnida; Scorpiones; Buthidae.